This is a long non-coding RNA of Oncorhynchus keta (chum salmon), 1127 nucleotides long. RefSeq lists it as uncharacterized. NCBI's taxonomy places the organism in Eukaryota, Metazoa, Chordata, Actinopteri, Salmoniformes, Salmonidae. The transcript is spliced from 4 exons. The record is from RefSeq and is a predicted model, not a curated record.
UUUGGAGAGUAUCUCAUUAAGUGUGCAGUCACAGAUGUACAGGAAAUCACGGUUGAGGCUGAAACUUCAAUCAGAGAAGUUCAGGUUCAUCUGAGAAGAUUACAGCUAAUGCCACUCUGGGAUUUGAUGAAGAUCGAUUCGAAGCACUGGAAUUGAGAUCGAUGGAAUCGGUUCUGCUUCUUAGGUGGAGGUGAUGAUAAUGAAACUGGCAGUGGAGAAAUCAUUGCCUGCCAUCAUAGAAGGCUCCACUGGAGACUUUCUAUUCCUAGCCAUAAUCAUUGUCAUACUUAAUAAGGUGUGGCAUAUCAAGAAGCAUUGAGCGUGUUUGGGAUGGUCUGAAUCGACAUGUACAAGAGUGUGUUCCAGUUCCUGCCAAUAUACAGCAACUUCACAAAACAAUUGAAGAGGAGUGGGAGAACAUUCCACAGACCACAAUCAACAGCCUGAUCAACUCUCUGCGAAGGAGAUGCCACGCUGCAUGAGGCAAAUGGUGGUCACACCAGACUGGUUUUCUGAUCCAUGCCCCUACCUUUUUUUAUCUGUGACCAUCUGUAUUUCCAGUCUUGUCUUGAAAUCCAUAGAUUAUGACCCAAUGAAUUUUAUUUCAAUUGACUGAUUUCCUUAUAUGAACUGUAACUCAGUACAAUCUUUUAAAUUGUUGCAUGUGGCAUUUAUAUUUGUGUUCGUUGUAGUACAAAAAGAAAAACUACCUUUAUGUAUCGGCCUCAUGGCCUUCAUCAGAGCGUGUUUAUAAUUUGCGCACUUAUGUAGACAUUGCUCCAUCCACAUCUGUUCAAUGCAUCGAAUGGGUUUGGAGUUGAGGGAAAAUAAGCAAGUGUUACCAAAUAUAACAAUGUGCAUUUCAUAUGUAUUCUAUUGAAGUGUGUACAUAAAAUGCAAAAAACAAGUUUGUAAAACCACAAUGAGGACAUCAACUUAGUUUUCAUAAAUCAUUGGGUACAGAGCAAGAAAAAAACAUUAAUUUAUUUAAGCUCUAGUACUGCCAAUAUUAAAAACAGUCAAAUGCAUUCGUGAAUUCAAUCGCUUGUUGCAGUUUAUUCAGUGUUUAAUUAAAGGCUCCCUUUGUUUCAUUUUAUAAUUAAAAUGCUUGACUCUAUUUAACAACA